CUUCUCUUUGCUUUCAGCUUCUUUACAGUGUUGCCUUGUGGCAUGGAGUUCAAGCAGCAUUGUACAGGGCUAUCAAAGCCUAGAGAGCG
This 89-nucleotide microRNA precursor is filed under the name Ornithorhynchus anatinus (platypus). Its description in RNAcentral is "microRNA oan-mir-107 precursor". Its record names the gene oan-mir-107. The stretch from base 6 to 83 matches the Rfam family "mir-103/107 microRNA precursor family". From Rfam's summary of the family: This family consists of the mammalian microRNA (miRNA) precursors mir-103 and mir107. The record is from miRBase by way of RNAcentral. Lineage: Eukaryota; Metazoa; Chordata; Mammalia; Monotremata; Ornithorhynchidae.